This 2087-nucleotide ribosomal RNA is filed under the name human gut metagenome. RNAcentral describes it as "bacterial LSU rRNA". It matches the Rfam family "Bacterial large subunit ribosomal RNA", at positions 810 to 2925 of the family's 2925-position model. The record is from RNAcentral.
UGUGGAUAGGGGAGAAAUUCCAAUCGAACCCGGAGAUAGCUGGUUCUCCUCGAAAUAGCUUUAGGGCUAGCCUCAUGGAUCAUUGGUGGGGGUAGAGCACUGAAUGUGCGCGGGGGCCACAAAGCCUACCAAACGCUAUCAAACUUCGAAUACCAUACAAUGCAGACCAUGGGAGUCAGUCCGCGAGAGAUAAGUUCCGCGGGCAAAAGGGGAACACCCCAGAUCAACCGCUAAGGUCCCCAAGUUCACGUUAAGUGGAGAAGGAUGUGGAAUUGCACAGACAACCAGGAUGUUGGCUCAGAAGCAGCCACACAUUUAAAGAGUGCGUAAUAGCUCACUGGUCGAGUGAUUGUGCGCCGAAGAUGUCCGGGGCUAAACGUGACACCGAAGCGAUGGGUGCAUCUGAAGAAGAUGCGCGGUAGAGGAGCAAUGUGCAGAGGCAGAAGCCGUAUCGAGAGGCACGGUGGACACUGCACAAGAGAGAAUGCCGGUAUGAGUAGCGAGAGGCAUGCGAGAAACAUGCCCGUCGAAAGCCCAAGGUUUCCUGGGGAAGGUUCAUCCGCCCAGGGUAAGUCGGGGCCUAAGCCGAGGACGGAAGUCGUAGGCGAUGGACAGCAGGUGUAGAUUCCUGCACUACCGAUGGAAUGAAGCAGUGACACAGAAGGAUAACUCGAGCAGGGUGAUGGUCAACCCUGUGCAAGCAUCAAGGUUGGGUUGUAGUGAAGUACGCAAUCCUAUAAGCUGAGGUGUGAUGCGGACCGAAAUUUCAGUAGGGAAGCGAGUGAGUUCACGCUGGCGAGAAAAGCUGCUAGUACAUCCAAAGGUACCCGUACCGGAAACCGACGCAGGUGGGCGAGGAGAGAAUCCUGAGACGAACGGGAGAACCCUUGUUAAGGAACUCGGCAAAAUGACCCCGUAACUUCGGGAUAAGGGGUGCCUGCGAGAGCAGGCCGCAGAGAAUAGUCACAAGCGACUGUUUAGCAAAAACACAGGUAUCUGCGAAAGCGAGAGCUGACGUAUAGGUGCUGACACCUGCCCGGUGCUGGAAGGUUAAGGGAACAUGUUAGAGCAAUCGAAGCAUCGAACCGAAGCCCCAGUAAACGGCGGCCGUAACUAUAACGGUCCUAAGGUAGCGAAAUUCCUUGUCGGGUAAGUUCCGACCCGCACGAAUGGUGUAACGACUUGUGAGCUGUCUCAACAGGGGGCCCGGUGAAAUUGAAGUAUGGGUGAAGAUGCCCAUUACCCGCGACUGGACGGAGAGACCCCGUAGAGCUUUACUGCAGCCUGAUAUUGAGUUUCGGUAACUGAUGCACAGGAUAGGUGGGAGUCUGAGAGACAUGGGUUUCGGCUCGUGUGGAGACGCUGUUGGGAUACCACUCUUCGGUUACUGAAAUUCUAACAUAGCUCUGUGAAACCAGAGGAUGGACAGUGUCAGGUGGACAGUUUGACUGGGGCGGUCGCCUCCGAAAGAGUAACGGAGGCGCCCAAAGGUACCCUCAGAAUGGAUGGAAACCAUUCGAAGAGCGCAAAGGCAGAAGGGUGCCUGACUGCGAGAUUGACAAAUCGAGCAGAGACGAAAGUCGGGCUUAGUGAUCCGGCGGUAUUGAGUGGAAAAGCCGUCGCUUAACGGAUAAAAGCUACCUCGGGGAUAACAGGCUGAUCUCCCCCAAGAGUCCACAUCGACGGGGAGGUUUGGCACCUCGAUGUCGGCUCGUCGCAUCCUGGGGCUGAAGCAGGUCCCAAGGGUUUGGCUGUUCGCCAAUUAAAGCGGCACGCGAGCUGGGUUCAGAACGUCGUGAGACAGUUCGGUCCCUAUCCAUCGUGGGCGUAGGAGUCAUGAGAGGAGCUGUUCCUAGUACGAGAGGACCGGAAUGGACGCACCACUGGUGCAACUGUUGUCGUGCCAACGGCAUAGCAGGGAAGCGAAGUGCGGACGGGAUAAACGCUGAAGGCAUCUAAGCGUGAAGCCCACCUCAAGAAUAAGACUCCACAAUAGACCCCUGGAGGACUACCAGGUAGAUAGGUCAUCGGUGGAAGCGCUGUAAGGCGUGUAGCUUGAUGAUACUAAUCGGUCGAAAGCUUCAUUU